Molecule: long non-coding RNA, 247 nt
Filed under: Vigna radiata
Lineage: Eukaryota; Viridiplantae; Streptophyta; Magnoliopsida; Fabales; Fabaceae
Description: long non-coding RNA (VRAD_LNC006952)
Source: RNAcentral
CAUUGAGCAUGGUUGGUUGCUCUAGGACAGAGAAUCCAAACAAUCAAGUAGUGGAUCAUCCUCUCUUCAACUUUGAAACCUCCAACUAGUAGUUGCCUUCUAUUUGUUUGCCUCUCGGGAUGUCGCAGAAAGGAUUGGAAAGUUAGCAUCCUGUUGAAGUCUUCAAGUCCUAAAUGGACUUUGACAGCAUCAUCCCAGAUAGGAAGUUGAGCAACAUUUGUCCAAACGUCAUCAUCUAAAAUGAUGC